UCUCUGGUGGCCUAGUGGUUAAGGACCCGGCAUUGUCAAUGCUGUAGUUCGGGUUUGAUCCCUGGCCUGGGAA
Molecule: transfer RNA, 73 nt
Filed under: Sus scrofa (pig)
Lineage: Eukaryota; Metazoa; Chordata; Mammalia; Artiodactyla; Suidae
Rfam family: tRNA
About the family: Transfer RNA (tRNA) molecules are approximately 80 nucleotides in length. Their secondary structure includes four short double-helical elements and three loops (D, anti-codon, and T loops). Further hydrogen bonds mediate the characteristic L-shaped molecular structure. tRNAs have two regions of fundamental functional importance: the anti-codon, which is responsible for specific mRNA codon recognition, and the 3' end, to which the tRNAs corresponding amino acid is attached (by aminoacyl-tRNA synthetases). tRNAs cope with the degeneracy of the genetic code in two manners: having more than one tRNA (with a specific anti-codon) for a particular amino acid; and 'wobble' base-pairing, i.e. permitting non-standard base-pairing at the 3rd anti-codon position.
Source: Rfam by way of RNAcentral